UUUUAUUUUGGGGUUUUUUUUCUUUCUUUCUUAUGGAUUUGGAAUGAUGGGUCUUUUUUGUUCUGUAUCUGCAUGUGUCAUUCUGUUCAUUAUUUGAUUUGUUGGAGAUUUACAGUUUCGAAGAAAUCAGCUUGCCAUGUUCGAUGGAUGAUAUUAAUUGUCUAGUUUAUGAUAUUGAUUAAUUGAUUUGGUUUCUUUUCGAUGGGGUAUUGUGCCGAUUUUUAGCCCAUCCUGUAUUUUACUUGAUUUUGGCCAGAAUCCUUGUUCUUGGAAGAACUUGUGUAAGACCACUUGAUGUCUUUUUUUCUAUUGGUAUUUUCAUCCAAAAUUGGUUGAAAAAUCAUUUUGCUUAAUAAAUUUAUAGAUUUGU
Molecule: long non-coding RNA, 370 nt
Organism: Hibiscus syriacus
Lineage: Eukaryota; Viridiplantae; Streptophyta; Magnoliopsida; Malvales; Malvaceae
Exons: 2
Source: RefSeq, a predicted model, not a curated record